GACGAACGCUGGCGGCAUGCCUAACACAUGCAAGUCGAACGAGACCUUCGGGUCUAGUGGCGCACGGGUGCGUAACGCGUGGGAAACUGCCCUUGGGUUCGGAAUAACUCCCCGAAAGGGGUGCUAAUACCGGCUAAUGUCUUCGGACCAAAGAUUUAUCGCCUUUGGAUGGGCCCGCGUUGGAUUAGCUAGUUGGUAGGGUAAAAGCCUACCAAGGCGACGAUCCAUAGCUGGUCUGAGAGGAUGAUCAGCCACACUGGGACUGAGACACGGCCCAGACUCCUACGGGAGGCAGCAGUGGGGAAUAUUGGACAAUGGGCGAAAGCCUGAUCCAGCAAUGCCGCGUGAGUGAUGAAGGCCUUAGGGUUGUAAAGCUCUUUUACCCGGGAUGAUAAUGACAGUACCGGGAGAAUAAGCUCCGGCUAACUCCGUG
RNAcentral lists this ribosomal RNA (433 nucleotides) under uncultured bacterium. Its description in RNAcentral is "partial 16S ribosomal RNA". It matches the Rfam family "Bacterial small subunit ribosomal RNA", at positions 28 to 507 of the family's 1533-position model. The record is from RNAcentral.